ACUCCUGUAGUUUAAUGGUAAAACAGCAGGCUUAUACCCUGUAUUAGCUCUAGAUUGGGGCAAGUUCUUGGUUCGAAUCCAAGUGGGAGUA
RNAcentral lists this transfer RNA (91 nucleotides) under Streptomyces tamarix. Its description in RNAcentral is "tRNA-Ile". It matches the Rfam family "tRNA". Rfam says of the family: Transfer RNA (tRNA) molecules are approximately 80 nucleotides in length. Lineage: Bacteria; Bacillati; Actinomycetota; Actinomycetes; Kitasatosporales; Streptomycetaceae. The record is from RNAcentral.